RNAcentral lists this ribosomal RNA (253 nucleotides) under uncultured bacterium. RNAcentral's name for it is "partial 16S ribosomal RNA". It matches the Rfam family "Bacterial small subunit ribosomal RNA", at positions 524 to 776 of the family's 1533-position model. The record is from RNAcentral.
GACGAAGGUGGCGAGCGUUACUCGGAUUUACUAGGCGUAAAGCGUGGGCAGGCGGUUCGGUAAGUCUGUUGUGAAAGCUCCUGGCUUAACUGGGAGAGGUCAAUGGAUACUGCCGAGCUUGAAUGCGGGAGAGGUGACUGGAAUUCCUGGUGUAGCGGUGAAAUGCGUAGAUAUCAGGAGGAACACCUAUGGCGAAAGCAGGUCACUGGACCGUUAUUGACGCUCAUCCACGAAAGCUGGGGGAUCAAACAGG